GAGUUUGAUCCUGGCUCAGGAUGAACGCUAGCGGCAGGCUUAACACAUGCAAGUCGAGGGGUAACAGGUAGCUUGCUGUGCUGACGACCGGCGCACGGGUGAGUAACGCGUAUACAAUCUGCCUUGUACUGAGGGAUAGCCCAGAGAAAUUUGGAUUAAUACCUCAUAGCAUAUAGACUCCACCUGGAGAUUAUAUUAAAGGUUACGGUACAAGAUGAGUAUGCGUUCUAUUAGCUAGAUGGUAAGGUAACGGCUUACCAUGGCAACGAUAGAUAGGGGCCCUGAGAGGGGGAUCCCCCACACUGGUACUGAGACACGGACCAGACUCCUACGGGAGGCAGCAGUGAGGAAUAUUGGACAAUGGGCGAGAGCCUGAUCCAGCCAUGCCGCGUGCAGGAUGACUGCCCUAUGGGUUGUAAACUGCUUUUAUACAGGAAGAAACACUCCCUCGUGAGGGAGCUUGACGGUACUGUAAGAAUAAGGAUCGGCUAACUCCGUGCCAGCAGCCGCGGUAAUACGGAGGAUCCAAGCGUUAUCCGGAAUCAUUGGGUUUAAAGGGUCCGUAGGUGGAUAAUUAAGUCAGAGGUGAAAUCCUGCAGCUCAACUGUAGAAUUGCCUUUGAUACUGGUUAUCUUGAGUUAUUAUGAAGUAGUUAGAAUAUGUGGUGUAGCGGUGAAAUGCAUAGAUAUCACAUAGAAUACCAAUUGCGAAGGCAGAUUACUAAUAAUAUACUGACACUGAUGGACGAAAGCGUGGGGAGCGAACAGGAUUAGAUACCCUGGUAGUCCACGCCGUAAACGAUGGUUACUAGUUGUUCGAACUUCGGUUUGAGUGACUAAGCGAAAGUGAUAAGUAACCCACCUGGGGAGUACGUUCGCAAGAAUGAAACUCAAAGGAAUGACGG
This 904-nucleotide ribosomal RNA is filed under the name uncultured bacterium. RNAcentral describes it as "bacterial SSU rRNA". It matches the Rfam family "Bacterial small subunit ribosomal RNA", at positions 9 to 916 of the family's 1533-position model. The record is from RNAcentral.